This 1343-nucleotide ribosomal RNA is filed under the name uncultured bacterium. RNAcentral describes it as "16S ribosomal RNA". It matches the Rfam family "Bacterial small subunit ribosomal RNA", at positions 28 to 1378 of the family's 1533-position model. The record is from RNAcentral.
GACGAACGCUGGCGGCGUGCUUAACACAUGCAAGUCGAACGGAAAGGCCCUGCUUUUGUGGGGUGCUCGAGUGGCGAACGGGUGAGUAACACGUGAGUAACCUGCCCUUGACUUUGGGAUAACUUCAGGAAACUGGGGCUAAUACCGGAUAGGAGCUCCUGCUGCAUGGUGGGGGUUGGAAAGUUUCGGCGGUUGGGGAUGGACUCGCGGCUUAUCAGCUUGUUGGUGGGGUAGUGGCUUACCAAGGCUUUGACGGGUAGCCGGCCUGAGAGGGUGACCGGCCACAUUGGGACUGAGAUACGGCCCAGACUCCUACGGGAGGCAGCAGUGGGGAAUAUUGCACAAUGGGCGGAAGCCUGAUGCAGCAACGCCGCGUGCGGGAUGACGGCCUUCGGGUUGUAAACCGCUUUCGCCUGUGACGAAGCGUGAGUGACGGUAAUGGGUAAAGAAGCACCGGCUAACUACGUGCCAGCAGCCGCGGUGAUACGUAGGGUGCGAGCGUUGUCCGGAUUUAUUGGGCGUAAAGGGUUCGUAGGUGGUUGAUCGCGUCGGAAGUGUAAUCUUGGGGCUUAACCCUGAGCGUGCUUUCGAUACGGGUUGACUUGAGGAAGGUAGGGGAGAGUGGAAUUCCUGGUGGAGCGGUGGAAUGCGCAGAUAUCAGGAGGAACACCAGUGGCGAAGGCGGUUCUCUGGGCCUUUCCUGACGCUGAGGAGCGAAAGCGUGGGGAGCGAACAGGCUUAGAUACCCUGGUAGUCCACGCUGUAAACGGUGGGUACUAGGUGUGGGGUCCAUUCCACGGGUUCCGUGCCGUAGCUAACGCUUUAAGUACCCCGCCUGGGGAGUACGGCCGCAAGGCUAAAACUCAAAGGAAUUGACGGGGCCCCGCACAAGCGGCGGAGCAUGCGGAUUAAUUCGAUGCAACGCGUAGAACCUUACCUGGGUUUGACAUGGAUCGGGAGUGCUCAGAGAUGGGUGUGCCUCUUUUGGGGUCGGUUCACAGGUGGUGCAUGGCUGUCGUCAGCUCGUGUCGUGAGAUGUUGGGUUAAGUCCCGCAACGAGCGCAACCCUUGUUCACUGUUGCCAGCACGUUAUGGUGGGGACUCAGUGGAGACCGCCGGGGUCAACUCGGAGGAAGGUGGGGAUGACGUCAAGUCAUCAUGCCCCUUAUGUCCAGGGCUUCACGCAUGCUACAAUGGCUGGUACAGAGAGUGGCGAGCCUGUGAGGGCGAGCGAAUCUCGGAAAGCCGGUCUCAGUUCGGAUUGGGGUCUGCAACUCGACCUCAUGAAGUCGGAGUCGCUAGUAAUCGCAGAUCAGCAACGCUGCGGUGAAUACGUUCCCGGG